RNAcentral lists this non-coding RNA (769 nucleotides) under Scolytus seulensis. The record is from RNAcentral. Lineage: Eukaryota; Metazoa; Arthropoda; Insecta; Coleoptera; Curculionidae.
CCAAAGUUAUUUUGCUUAGGUUAAAUAUUUAUUAUUCAAUUAAAUGUAAGUUUUAGCGGUAACAAGUUUCAGCUAUCGAUUGGCUAUUGAUUUAUAUUUACAGUAAUUAGUUUUUUAUAAUUUGGGAGUUCAAGAUACAGGAAAUAAUAAUUAGGAUAGACCUAAUUUGUGCCAGCAGUUGCGGUUACACAAAUUAUCCAUUGUUUAAUUUAUCAGUUUAAGUAAAUUUAUUGAUUAAUAGUUUAGAAUAGAGAUUAUUAGGUGAAAUUUUAUCUUUUUAGCAGUUAUUUAUUAGUGAGGCUUUGAAAAUUUUUUUUAAGACUAGGAUUAGAUACCCUAUUAUGAGGAAUGUUAAAUUUUAGGCUGAAUUAGUAGUAGUUAUGUUCUUGAAAAUUAAAAGUAGUGGCGGUACUUUAGUCUAUUCAGAGGAACCUGCCCUGUAAUCGAUGAUCCACGAUUUUUUUUACUGAUUUAAUUAGUUUAUAUAUCGCCGUGGUUGAAUAUUUUAAAAGAAAUUUUAAUGUUCAAGAUUCUUUUAUAAGGAAAGAAUUCAGGUCAAGAUGUAGCUUAUAUAUCAGAAGAGGUGGGUUACAAUAGUUUUAAUUUCGGAUGGGUUUUUAAUUUGACUCUGAAGAUGGAUUUGAUGGUAAUUUAAGGUAUUUCCUUAUGUGAUUUAAGCUCUAAAGUAUGCACAUAUCGCCCGUCGCUUUCAUUAAAGUGAAAUAAGUCGUAACAUAGUAGGUGUACUGGAAAGUGUAUCUGGAAAGUC